Non-coding RNA from Equus caballus (horse), 46 nucleotides. The record is from Rfam. Lineage: Eukaryota; Metazoa; Chordata; Mammalia; Perissodactyla; Equidae.
CAAAAGGCCCUUCUCAGGGCCACCCACUUGGUCACACGAAGGGCUG